UGGGGAAUUUUUCGCAAUGGGGGAAACCCUGACGAAGCAACGCCGCGUGGGGGAUGAAGGUCUUCGGAUCGUAAACCCCUGUCGAUCGGGACGAAAGCACCCGACCUAACACGUCGGAGUGUUGACUGUACCGGUGGAGGAAGCCACGGCUAACUCUGUGCCAGCAGCCGCGGUAAUACGUAGGGUGCGAGCGUUAAUCGGAAUUACUGGGCGUAAAGGGUGCGCAGGCGGCCCCGCAUGUCAGGCGUGAAAUCCCCGAGCUCAACUUGGGAAUGGCGCUUGAAACUACGGGGCUGGAGUGUGGCAGAGGGAGGUGGAAUUCCACGUGUAGCGGUGAAAUGCGUAGAGAUGUGGAGGAACACCGAUGGCGAAGGCAGCCUCCUGGGCCAACACUGACGCUCAUGCACGAAAGCGUGGGGAGCAAACAGGAUUAGAUACCCUCGUAGUCCCUGAGCGGGCUGGCAAGGCGCAU
Molecule: ribosomal RNA, 472 nt
Filed under: uncultured bacterium
Lineage: Bacteria
Description: bacterial SSU rRNA
Rfam family: Bacterial small subunit ribosomal RNA
Source: RNAcentral